GAUGAACGCUGGCGGCGUGCUUAACACAUGCAAGUCGAACGAAGCGCCUUAUUUGAUUUUCUUCGGAACUGAAGAUUUGGUGACUGAGUGGCGGACGGGUGAGUAACGCGUGGGUAACCUGCCCUGUACAGGGGGAUAACAAUCAGAAAUGACUGCUAAUACCGCAUAAGACCACAGCACCGCAUGGUGCAGGGGUAAAAACUCCGGUGGUACAGGAUGGACCCGCGUCUGAUUAGCUGGUUGGUGAGGUAACGGCUCACCAAGGCGACGAUCAGUAGCCGGCUUGAGAGAGUGAACGGCCACAUUGGGACUGAGACACGGCCCAAACUCCUACGGGAGGCAGCAGUGGGGAAUAUUGCACAAUGGGGGGAACCCUGAUGCAGCGACGCCGCGUGAGUGAAGAAGUAUUUCGGUAUGUAAAGCUCUAUCAGCAGGGAAGAAAAUGACGGUAC
Molecule: ribosomal RNA, 452 nt
Filed under: uncultured bacterium
Lineage: Bacteria
Description: bacterial SSU rRNA
Rfam family: Bacterial small subunit ribosomal RNA
Source: RNAcentral